CCUACGGGAGGCAGCAGUGAGGAAUAUUGGUCAAUGGACGAGAGUCUGAACCAGCCAAGUAGCGUGAAGGAUGACUGCCCUAUGGGUUGUAAACUUCUUUUAUAUGGGAAUAAAACAGGGUAUGCAUACCCUCUUGUAUGUACCAUAUGAAUAAGCAUCGGCUAACUCCGUGCCAGCAGCCGCGGUAAUACGGAGGAUCCGAGCGUUAUCCGGAUUUAUUGGGUUUAAAGGGAGCGUAGGUGGAUUGUUAAGUCAGUUGUGAAAGUUUGCGGCUCAACCGUAAAAUUGCAGUUGAAACUGGUAGUCUUGAGUACAGUAGAGGUAGGCGGAAUGCGUGGUGUAGCGGUGAAAUGCUUAGAUAUCACGAAGAACUCCGAUUGCGAAGGCAGCUCACUGGACUGCAACUGACACUGAUGCUCGAAAGUGUGGGGAUCAAACAGGAUUAAAUACCCCAGUAGUC
RNAcentral lists this ribosomal RNA (460 nucleotides) under uncultured bacterium. Its description in RNAcentral is "partial 16S ribosomal RNA". It matches the Rfam family "Bacterial small subunit ribosomal RNA", at positions 338 to 795 of the family's 1533-position model. The record is from RNAcentral.